This 186-nucleotide unclassified non-coding RNA is filed under the name uncultured Papiliotrema. RNAcentral's name for it is "sequence contains ITS2". The record is from RNAcentral. Lineage: Eukaryota; Fungi; Basidiomycota; Tremellomycetes; Tremellales; Tremellaceae.
AAUCUCAAUCCCAUCUGGUUUAUGAUCAGUUGGGACUUGGACAUGGGCGCUGCCGGUUACACGGCUCGCCUCAAAUGACUUAGUGGGAUCGCUAGCAUCCGUGACAGACGUAAUAAGUUUCGUCUUGUCCCUUGUGUGCGUCAAGCCUGCUCAGAACACCGCUUGCCUUUGUGCAACACUUUUUGA